This 253-nucleotide ribosomal RNA is filed under the name uncultured bacterium. RNAcentral describes it as "partial 16S ribosomal RNA". It matches the Rfam family "Bacterial small subunit ribosomal RNA", at positions 524 to 776 of the family's 1533-position model. The record is from RNAcentral.
UACGGGGGGGGCAAGCGUUGUUCGGAAUUACUGGGCGUAAAGGGCUCGUAGGUGGCCAACUAAGUCAGACGUGAAAUCCCUCGGCUUAACCGGGGAACUGCGUCCGAUACUGGCAGGCUUGAAUCCGGGAGAGGGAUGCGGAAUUCCACGUGUAGCAGUGAAAUGCGUAGAGAUGUGGAGGAACACCGAUGGCGAAGGCAGCCCCCUGGGUCAAGACUGACGCUCAUGCAUGAAAGCGUGGGGAGCAAACAGG